Molecule: ribosomal RNA, 490 nt
Filed under: uncultured bacterium
Lineage: Bacteria
Description: bacterial SSU rRNA
Rfam family: Bacterial small subunit ribosomal RNA
Source: RNAcentral
GACGAACGUUGGCGGUGCGCUUAAUGCAUGCAAGUCGAGCGAGAAGCAGUUGUUCCGUAAGGUUCGACUGUGGACAGCGGCGAACGGGUGCGUAACACGUGAGAAACCUGCCCCCCAGACCGGGAUAGCCCAGGGAAACUUGGAUUAAUACCGGAUACUCUCCUCGGACCGCAUGGUCUGUUGAGGAAACAGUCCGCUGCUGGGGGAUGGUCUCGCGGCCUAUCAGGUAGUUGGUGAGGUAACGGCUCACCAAGCCGAAGACGGGUAGCUGGUCUGAGAGGACGAUCAGCCACACUGGAACUGAGACACGGUCCAGACUCCUACGGGAGGCAGCAGCAGGGAAUAUUGCACAAUGGGCGAAAGCCUGAUCCAGCGACGUCACGUGAAUGAUGAAGGCCUUAGGGUUGUAAAAUUCUUUUAGUGGAGAAGAUAAUGACGGUAUCCACAGAAAAAGUCCCGGCUAACUUCGUGCCAGCCGCCGCCGUAACAC